RNAcentral lists this ribosomal RNA (495 nucleotides) under uncultured bacterium. RNAcentral's name for it is "partial 16S ribosomal RNA". It matches the Rfam family "Bacterial small subunit ribosomal RNA", at positions 28 to 507 of the family's 1533-position model. The record is from RNAcentral.
GACGAACGCUGGCGGCGUGCCUAAUACAUGCAAGUAGAACGCUGAAGGAGGAGCUUGCUUCUCUGGAUGAGUUGCGAACGGGUGAGUAACGCGUAGGUAACCUGCCUUGUAGCGGGGGAUAACUAUUGGAAACGAUAGCUAAUACCGCAUAAUAGUAGAUGUCGCAUGACAUUUGCUUAAAAGGUGCAAUUGCAUCACUACCAGAUGGACCUGCGUUGUAUUAGCUAGUUGGUGAGGUAACGGCUCACCAAGGCAACGAUACAUAGCCGACCUGAGAGGGUGAUCGGCCACACUGGGACUGAGACACGGCCCAGACGGCUACGGGAGGGAGCAGGAGGGAAUCGUCGGCAAUGGACGGAAGUCUGAGCGAGCAACGCCGCGGGAGUGAAGAAGGUUGUCGGAUCGUAAAGCUCGGUUGUAAGAGAAGAACGAGUGUGAGAGUGGAAAGUUCACACUGUGACGGUAUCUGACCAGAAAGGGACGGCUAACUACGUG